GACGAACGCUGGCGGCGCGCCUAACACAUGCAAGUCGAACGGAGCUGAGAGAAGCUUGCUUUUCUUAGCUUAGUGGCGAACGGGUGAGUAACGCGUGAGUAACCUGCCCUGGAGUGGGGGACAACAGUUGGAAACGACUGCUAAUACCGCAUAAGCCCACGAUCCGGCAUCGGAUUGAGGGAAAAGGAUUUAUUCGCUUCAGGAUGGACUCGCGUCCAAUUAGCUAGUUGGUGAGGUAACGGCCCACCAAGGCGACGAUUGGUAGCCGGACUGAGAGGUUGAACGGCCAAAUUGGGACUGGGACACGGCCCAGACGCCACGGGGGGGCGGCAGGGGGGGUAAUGGGAAAAGGGGGGAAACCCUGAUGCAGCGACGCCGGGGGGAGGAAGAAGGUUUUGGGAUUGUAAACCCCUGGCGAUAGGGACGAAAAGGAGGGAACCGAACAAGAAAGCCCCGGUAAAUUAGGG
This 467-nucleotide ribosomal RNA is filed under the name uncultured bacterium. RNAcentral describes it as "partial 16S ribosomal RNA". It matches the Rfam family "Bacterial small subunit ribosomal RNA", at positions 28 to 506 of the family's 1533-position model. The record is from RNAcentral.